CAGAAAAUGGAUGGAAGUCUAGGAGCUUCUAUGAAGGAUAAAGGAACUUUAGCCACUCAUUGAAGAUCUAUCAAUCAGAUCCUACUAUUCUGCAUCUUCCCCUAUCUCGGCUACCAACAACUCGGUCUAACACCAUCAUUGUCACCUCUCAUCUUUCUAGUGUGUACACACACCGUAUCCCCACUCUGGUCCAGUUACAGGUCCUGCAAACAGAGCAUCAGAAAAUGGAAGCUAAUGAGUCAUUCUGGAGUUACUGUGAGAUCCAUUGCCAGAAUUUAUAAAAUCAAUUCAUGUCCAUGAAACAGAAUCUCCUUGUGGAUUUUUCUCCUUGCUUCAAACUUCCUUCAGACAGUCUUUUAAGAGUAUCUUCAUUUUCUUGUUCAUCUUUCCUGGACUGGCCCUCUGCCACACUGGCACCUGAAAUGCAGCAAACAAUGUCGUUGGAUGCUGAAGG
Long non-coding RNA from Talpa occidentalis (Iberian mole), 454 nucleotides. RefSeq lists it as uncharacterized. The record is from RefSeq and is a predicted model, not a curated record. Lineage: Eukaryota; Metazoa; Chordata; Mammalia; Eulipotyphla; Talpidae. The transcript is spliced from 5 exons.